UUUCUUGAUUAGUGGCGCACGGGUGAGUAAUGCAUAGAUAAUGUGCCCCUUAGUUCGGGAUAGCCACUGGAAACGGUGAUUAAUACCGGAUACUCCUUCUUGUUAUAAGACAAGUCGGGAAAGUUUUUCGCUAAGGGAUCAGUCUAUGUUCCAUCAGCUUGUUGGUGAGGUAAUGGCUCACCAAGGCUAUGACGGAUAUCUGGUUUGAGAGGAUGAUCAGACACACUGGAACUGAGACACGGUCCAGACUCCUACGGGAGGCAGCAGUGAGGAAUAUUGCACAAUGGAGGAAACUCUGAUGCAGCAACGCCGCGUGGAGGAUGACGCAUUUCGGUGUGUAAACUCCUUUUAUUAGGGAAGAUAAUGACGGUACCUAAUGAAUAAGCACCGGCUAACUCCGUGCCAGCAGCCGCGGUAAUACGGAGGGUGCAAGCGUUACUCGGAAUCACUGGGCGUAAAGGGUGCGUAGGCUGGCUUUUAAGUCAGAUGUGAAAUCCAAUGGCUCAACCAUUGAACUGCAUUUGAAACUGAAAGCCUAGAGUUCAGAAGGGGCAGAUGGAAUUAGUGGUGUAGGGGUAAAAUCCGUAGAUAUCACUAGGAAUAUCAAAAGCGAAGGCGAUCUGCUGGGAUGAUACU
Molecule: ribosomal RNA, 636 nt
Filed under: uncultured bacterium
Lineage: Bacteria
Description: bacterial SSU rRNA
Rfam family: Bacterial small subunit ribosomal RNA
Source: RNAcentral